CGCGGGAUUACUCCUACGGAGGCAGCAGUAAGGAAUAUUGGUCAAUGGAGGCAACUCUGAACCAGCUAUGCCGCGUGCAGGAUGACGGCCCUAUGGGUUGUAAACUGCUUUUGUACCAGAGAAAACCUACUCACGUGUGAGUAGCUGAUAGUAUGGUAAGAAUAAGCAUCGGCUAACUUCGUGCCAGCAGCCGCGGUAAUAAUCACUAGU
This 210-nucleotide ribosomal RNA is filed under the name uncultured bacterium. RNAcentral's name for it is "partial 16S ribosomal RNA". It matches the Rfam family "Bacterial small subunit ribosomal RNA", at positions 325 to 532 of the family's 1533-position model. The record is from RNAcentral.